GACGUAGGGCGCGAGCGUUGUCCGGAUUUAUUGGGCGUAAAGAGCUCGUAGGCGGUUCGGUAAGUCAGCUGUGAAAUCUCCACGCUCAACGUGGAGGGGUCAGCUGAUACUGCCGUGACUUGAGUCUGGUAGGGGAGUGCGGAAUUCCCGGUGUAGCGGUGAAAUGCGCAGAUAUCGGGAGGAACACCAGUGGCGAAGGCGGCACUCUGGGCCAGUACUGACGCUGAGGAGCGAAAGCGUGGGGAGCGAACAGG
Molecule: ribosomal RNA, 254 nt
Filed under: uncultured bacterium
Lineage: Bacteria
Description: partial 16S ribosomal RNA
Rfam family: Bacterial small subunit ribosomal RNA
Source: RNAcentral